CGAACGGGAUUAUCUGGAGAGCUUGCUCGAAGGGUAUGAGAGUGGCGAACGGGUGCGUAACGCGUAUGCAACCUACCUAUCACAGGGGGAUAGCCCGGCGAAAGUCGGAUUAACACCGCAUGACAUCAUGAUAUGGCAUCAUAUUAUGAUCAAAUCUGAGGAGGUGAUAGAUGGGCAUGCGUGCCAUUAGCUAGUUGGCGGGGUAACGGCCCACCAAGGCGACGAUGGCUAGGGGAUCUGAGAGGAUUGCCCCCCACACUGGUACUGAGACACGGACCAGACUCCUACGGGAGGCAGCAGUAAGGAAUAUUGGUCAAUGGAGGGAACUCUGAACCAGCCAUGCCGCGUGCAGGAAGACUGCCCUAUGGGUUGUAAACUGCUUUUGUUAGGGAAUAAACCUUUCUACGUGUAGGAAGCUGAAUGUACCUAAAGAAUAAGGAUCGGCUAACUCCGUGCCAGCAGCCGCGGUAAUACGGAGGAUCCAAGCGUUAUCCGGAUUUAUUGGGUUUAAAGGGAGCGUAGGCGGCCUGUUAAGUCAGGGGUGAAAGACGGCAGCUCAACUGUCGCAGUGCCCUUGAUACUGAUGGGCUUGAAUUCAGAUGAGGUAGGCGGAAUGUGACAAGUAGCGGUGAAAUGCAUAGAUAUGUCACAGAACACCGAUUGCGAAGGCAGCUUACUAAACUGCGAUUGACGCUGAGGCUCGAAAGCGUGGGGAUCGAACAGGAUUAGAUACCCUGGUAGUCCACGCCCUAAACGAUGAUGACUCGAUGUUAGCGAUAUACCGUUAGCGUCCAAGCGAAAGCGUUAAGUCAUCCACCUGGGGAGUACUCCGCAAGGG
RNAcentral lists this ribosomal RNA (838 nucleotides) under Pedobacter sp. I-Z3. RNAcentral describes it as "bacterial SSU rRNA". It matches the Rfam family "Bacterial small subunit ribosomal RNA", at positions 63 to 894 of the family's 1533-position model. Lineage: Bacteria; Pseudomonadati; Bacteroidota; Sphingobacteriia; Sphingobacteriales; Sphingobacteriaceae. The record is from RNAcentral.